AGGAAGGUGGGGAUGACGUCAAGUCCUCAUGGCCUUUAUGCCCAGGGCUACACACGUGCUACAAUGGGUGGUACAAAGAGCAGCCAGCUCGCGAGAGUGAGCAAAUCUCAAAAAGCCAUCCUCAGUUCGGAUUGAAGUCUGCAACUCGACUUCAUGAAGUUGGAAUCGCUAGUAAUCGCGGAUCGGCAUGCCGCGGUGAAUACGUUCCCGGGCCUU
This 216-nucleotide ribosomal RNA is filed under the name uncultured Syntrophus sp. Its description in RNAcentral is "partial 16S ribosomal RNA". It matches the Rfam family "Bacterial small subunit ribosomal RNA", at positions 1167 to 1382 of the family's 1533-position model. The record is from RNAcentral. Lineage: Bacteria; Pseudomonadati; Thermodesulfobacteriota; Syntrophia; Syntrophales; Syntrophaceae.